Molecule: non-coding RNA, 273 nt
Organism: Pelobates cultripes (western spadefoot toad)
Lineage: Eukaryota; Metazoa; Chordata; Amphibia; Anura; Pelobatidae
Source: the annotation of a GenBank genome assembly
GGAGGAGGUUAGUCAGGGCCUACAGGGCUCUUACUAAGAUUGAUACGUUGUGGGGUGGUACAAGAGGGUUCAGUCUUUUUUAAUAGCCACUUAGUCACAAACACUGGCCAAAGUUAGCAUUCAUAAUUGUUUUUUGCAUUUUUAACACACAAACAGAUAUAAAUUCUAACUUUGGUCAGUUUUUGUAACUAAGUGGCUACUAAAGAAAACUGGAUAUACCACAUAUUGAAUACCCUGGGUUGUCUACUUUUCAAAAAUAUAUGGUUUGAUGGG